AUACGUAGGUCACAAACGUUGUCCGGAAUUAUUGGGCGUAAAGGGUCCGUAGGCGGUUCGGUAAGUCUCCUGUGAAAUCUUCAGGCUCAACUUGAAGAGGUCGGGGGAUACUGCUGAACUCGAGACAGAUAGAGGCAAGUGGAAUUCCCGGUGUAGUGGUGAAAUGCGUAGAUAUCGGGAGGAACACCAGUGGCGAAAGCGGCUUGCUGGGUCUGUUCUGACGCUGAGGGACGAAAGCGUGGGUAGCAAACCGGAUUAGAAACCCGAGUAGUCC
Molecule: ribosomal RNA, 274 nt
Filed under: uncultured bacterium
Lineage: Bacteria
Description: partial 16S ribosomal RNA
Rfam family: Bacterial small subunit ribosomal RNA
Source: RNAcentral